GUCAAAAGCACCCUCAGGUGGCCAGCCCACUCCAAACGUUGGCCACUCGGAGGCGCAAAAGGUCUGCCACGGACCCUUUCUGACCUCCACCGACUGGUUGUGGGCUCUGACCCGCACCUCCUUCCAAUGCUCCAGAGUCAGAGAAAGGGGAGUGGACACAGAUUGUCCCAUUUCUAGAAAAACAGUAGUCACAACAAGAGCGGACACGAGACUAAG
RNAcentral lists this long non-coding RNA (216 nucleotides) under Mus musculus (house mouse). RNAcentral describes it as "predicted gene 29408". The record is from RNAcentral. Lineage: Eukaryota; Metazoa; Chordata; Mammalia; Rodentia; Muridae.